This 425-nucleotide ribosomal RNA is filed under the name uncultured bacterium. RNAcentral describes it as "partial 16S ribosomal RNA". It matches the Rfam family "Bacterial small subunit ribosomal RNA", at positions 354 to 796 of the family's 1533-position model. The record is from RNAcentral.
GUGGGGAAUCUUGCGCAAUGGGCGAAAGCCUGACGCAGCCAUGCCGCGUGAAUGAUGAAGGUCUUAGGAUUGUAAAAUUCUUUCACCGGGGACGAUAAUGACGGUACCCGGAGAAGAAGCCCCGGCUAACUUCGUGCCAGCAGCCGCGGUAAUACGAAGGGGGCUAGCGUUGCUCGGAAUUACUGGGCGUAAAGGGCGCGUAGGCGGACAGCUUAGUCAGAGGUGAAAGCCCAGGGCUCAACCUUGGAAUUGUCUUUGAUACUGGCUGUCUUGAGUUUGGGAGAGGUGAGUGGAACUCCGAGUGUAGAGGUGAAAUUCGUAGAUAUUCGGAAGAACACCAGUGGCGAAGGCGACUCACUGGCCCAAUACUGACGCUGAGGCGCGAAAGCGUGGGGAGCAAACAGGAUUAGAAACCCGUGUAGUCC